RNAcentral lists this ribosomal RNA (373 nucleotides) under uncultured organism. RNAcentral's name for it is "partial 16S ribosomal RNA". It matches the Rfam family "Bacterial small subunit ribosomal RNA", at positions 527 to 896 of the family's 1533-position model. The record is from RNAcentral.
GUAGGUGGCAAGCGUUGUCCGGAAUUAUUGGGCGUAACGCGCGCAGGCGGUUCUUUAAGUCUGAUGUGAAAGCCCACGGCUCAACCGUGGAGGGUCAUUGGAAACUGGAGAACUUGAGUACAGAAGAGGAAAGCGGAAUUCCACGUGUAGCGGUGAAAUGCGUAGAGAUGUGGAGGAACACCAGUGGCGAAGGCGGCUUUCUGGUCUGUAACUGACGCUGAGGCGCGAAAGCGUGGGGAGCAAACAGGGAUUAGAUACCCUGGUAGUCCACGCCGUAAACGACGAGUGCUAAGUGUUAGGGGGUUUCCCGCCCCCCUUAGUGCUGCAGCUAACGCAUUAAGCACUCCGCCUGGGGAGUACGGCCGCAAGGCUG